RNAcentral lists this transfer RNA (65 nucleotides) under Byasa alcinous. RNAcentral's name for it is "Atrophaneura alcinous tRNA-Val". The record is from RNAcentral. Lineage: Eukaryota; Metazoa; Arthropoda; Insecta; Lepidoptera; Papilionidae.
CAAAUUAGAGCUUGAAAUUAAGUAUUUCAUUUACAUUGAAAAGAUAUUAGAUUUAAUUAAUUUGA